This 1002-nucleotide long non-coding RNA is filed under the name Parus major (Great Tit). RNAcentral's name for it is "lncRNA (ENSPMJG00000007433.1)". The record is from RNAcentral. Lineage: Eukaryota; Metazoa; Chordata; Aves; Passeriformes; Paridae.
CUUGAAACAAGUUGCAGCAAAUGCUGUGCCAUCAUACCAUCUGUGUUCAAGUACAGCUCUAAAGCUCUUCUCCUAUUGCUUCCUAAAGUGGAAAAUAAUGGUAAAAAAUAAAAACAGAUAAGAUGAAGUAUUGUGUAUUAGAAUACAUUAUGAACCUGAGCCUUACAAUGUUUGUUUCAAAACCCCACUCUGUACCUGUAUACUCAAAUGAAGCAUUGUUUGGAAACCAAAGAGGAGGGUUAUAGUCUUCACAUUUAAAUUAAGCAACAGCGAUGUUCUCACCUGACACAGCUAGUAAAUUCUGGUGAGCUUCACUCUACACAAAAUUGCCUAUUUUGCUUUUUUUAGCUCUUUUCACAGGCUUUCCAACAAUAUUCCAUAGGAACAUGAGUGAAAUUCAUUAAACCUUGGAGUUAAUUGAAGGAACUAGAAUUGAUGAGAAAUAUUUUUUUUAAUAUCCCACUGUUAAAUUAACGUCUAAGAUAACAGAGGUUGAUGGACAAAAUUUACGUGGAGUACAAUAUAUAUUAUGACAAACCCCAACAUACAUCUUAGGCCACAAGGAAGGGUAGUAAGAAAUCCAGAAACAAACUCUGCAGGUAAAAUGCCACCACGGAAGAACUAACUGCUCUUUAUAUGAUACAAUGAAAAAAAAGCCUAGUUCUUGAAAAGUCAACUUUGUCAUGAGGAUCUUAAAGUAGCACCUUUUUGAUAUUCAGUCAAAAUACAGGAUGACUGUUUCGAAGAUGGAAGUGACCCUGUUCUGAUCACUUUAUCUCACUCUCAGGUCUACAGUCACUUUAUCACUGCAGGGUGCAAGGAAAACAAGGACCACGCUGGGAAGCUGUACUGGAACUGCCUCGAAAAGACAGAGAGAGGCGUGCAGGCAAGAGCAGGAGGCAGCGCAUCUGCGGGAGAACCUUGCUGAUCCCAGAGCCCAGGAGAAAGCAGGAGAGGUCAGGACACUGCAUACUUGAGACAGGGAUUCAAGCUGGGGCAUGC